GUUGCAAAGUCGAGCGCUCAGCCGAGGGAAACGCAGGAGCCGGGGCUGCUCUGUGUGACAGAUCUGCUGCCAUACAUCCUGCUCGCCCUGCCUAGCACUUGUGUCCUUCAGCACAUGGCACCCGUGCUGAAGGCCCCAGCGCUUGCACUGGGAGUACAGGAGCACCAGCAUCCCAGCUCACAAAAACACAAACGUACCAAAACAGUUAGCGUUCCAGUUCAAGUAUCCAAACCCAUCCAAGGGACUUCCGUGAGCAGCAUUCAGCACUGCUGUGCUACGGAGAUUUCAGCCAUCCAGACACAGCAGCACGUGAGUGCCUUCACCCGGAGCGGGGCAUCCAACGCCACGGCUCAGAUCGGUGAGCACUGGGGCAGGAGCACACACCGCUCCUGCAGUCUGGUUUUCACAUUCCCCUGUGUUUAACUAACAGCUGUGCAGCCCACUGAUGGAGCAGAGAUGUUCUUCUUCUGGCACUUAAACACCACAGCCCACCCUCAGCCCCAGCUGCGUCUCAUCCAAGUGGCACAGCACCGCUGUGGAGAUGCAGGGGGAAACACAGACCUCAGACGUGGCUCAAUAUGAUUGUAGAUGGCUGAAAAAGGCAGCCAUUAACGUUUUACUGGGCACUGUGGAGAUGGGUCAGUGGUUGGAUCUGAUGAGCUUAGAGUUUUUCCAACCCUAAUGAUUCUAUGACAAAUAAGGCAUUAACUCCAGGCCAGCCCGAGCCCUUGUUUGAGGUCGCACAGAAGGAGAAGAGCAGAAGUGCUUCGUGCUGCCCAACAAACACUGCUCGAGGUCAGGUCUGCCACCUCCCAGCACCUGAAGGUGCGACUUUGCGACGUUAAUGCUUUUCUAGCAGAUAUUUAUGUGCUCGAGAGUAACACAAUAUACACAGCCCUCCCCCCGGAAAUAACUACACCAUAUUAAAGUUUACAAAUGUUCUGCUCGGUGUCACUGCUCUGUGGAAAUACACGAGCUGUGGUGCUCAAAAGGCAAGGUACGUCAGACACGGCUCCUGCAGGAGGGCAUUGCGUCGUCCUGUGCCCGCCGCUGCACCCCACAUCUCCGUGUCACUCCUGAGCCUCCUUGCGAGCCAGCUUGUAAACCUCUGUGGGGCCGUCCACGUGGGUGAUGGUGGUGGUGAGCUGCAGCUCCUCCCCGCUGCUCACCCCCAGGUCACCAUUCGACUGGUCCUCUCCAUAGUUCUUGUGUGACGGUGCAUACAGGAACAUGAGUGCAAAGACGUAGAGGUUCCACAUCCCGUAGAUGCCGGUGAAGAAGGCACUGUUCACCUGUAUCGUGAUGUCCCCCCACUUCCAGUGGCCUUCUGUCACCUGGCUCACGAUGAAGAAAAUGACUGUCAUGGCUGCACAAGCCAGGGUGAUGAGCAUCAGGAACUUGAACCGAAAGAUCAGCCCCUCGUAAUGCAGGCGGCGGGCCUUGCUCAUCGCUGGCAGGCUGGACUGCUUUCCACUGAUGUUUCUGAACACUUGGAAGACCAUAAAACACAGGAAGAGAAAAUAGAGGCACAAGCAAAUUCCUGCGACUAUAAUGAAGGCCAUGGCCAGCUCUGUGCCAACCUCGGUGGUCCAGAUGCUGUAGAAGGGGUUUUUCAGCUGCACUCCCCU
This 1628-nucleotide long non-coding RNA is filed under the name Gallus gallus (chicken). Lineage: Eukaryota; Metazoa; Chordata; Aves; Galliformes; Phasianidae. The record is from RNAcentral.